Molecule: small RNA, 94 nt
Filed under: Woeseia oceani
Lineage: Bacteria; Pseudomonadati; Pseudomonadota; Gammaproteobacteria; Woeseiales; Woeseiaceae
Description: t44 RNA
Rfam family: t44 RNA
About the family: This family consists of a number of bacterial RNA genes of between 135 and 170 bases in length. The t44 gene is found between the map and rpsB genes in all species in the full alignment apart from Shigella flexneri.
Source: Rfam by way of RNAcentral
CCCUUGAGGCAAUUAAUCCACACGUACAUCGACACAUCGCGCUGGGUGCCCCACCUGAAAAGGGGUUGCGGGAUGGGAUGUACGGAGGCCAAAC